This 264-nucleotide long non-coding RNA is filed under the name Elaeis guineensis (African oil palm). RNAcentral describes it as "long non-coding RNA (EGUI_LNC044155)". Lineage: Eukaryota; Viridiplantae; Streptophyta; Magnoliopsida; Arecales; Arecaceae. The record is from RNAcentral.
CCCUUACAUGAAAUGUGAUUGUGGAUCAAGUCAAAGUAGGAAUUAGUUUGGAUUUCAAAUUCUAUGAGAUAGAGUUUUAGGAAACCAAAACUCUUUCCUUAUGGCACUGAUUUACCUAGAUUUUUUUUGAAAUUUUUAUGACUUUUAUGGCACAUAAUAUGCACCCUUUGCUUAUGGUCCAUGGCAGAAAAAGAAAGAGGGGAUGCCCAAGAAUUGGAUGCCCCUUGUCUUGCCUUGUUUAGAUAAUCCUUGACUAGGUAUUUG